AUUGAACGCUGGCGGCAUGCCUUACACAUGCAAGUCGAACGGCAGCACGGGAGCAAUCCUGGUGACGAGUGGCGAACGGGUGAGUAAUAUAUCGGAACGUGCCCAGUCGUGGGGGAUAACGUAGCGAAAGCUACGCUAAUACCGCAUACGAUCUAUGGAUGAAAGCGGGGGAUCGCAAGACCUCGCGCGAUUGGAGCGGCCGAUAUCAGAUUAGGUAGUUGGUGAGGUAAAGGCUCACCAAGCCGACGAUCUGUAGCUGGUCUGAGAGGACGACCAGCCACACUGGGACUGAGACACGGUCCAGACUCCUACGGGAGGCAGCAGUGAGGAAUAUUGGUCAAUGGACGCAAGUCUGAACCAGCCAUGCCGCGUGCAGGAUGACGGUCCUAUGGAUUGUAAACUGCUUUUGUACGAGAAGAAACAACAUUACGUGUAAUGUCUUGACGGUAUCGUAAGAAUAAGGAUCGG
This 468-nucleotide ribosomal RNA is filed under the name uncultured bacterium. RNAcentral describes it as "bacterial SSU rRNA". It matches the Rfam family "Bacterial small subunit ribosomal RNA", at positions 30 to 496 of the family's 1533-position model. The record is from RNAcentral.